RNAcentral lists this ribosomal RNA (497 nucleotides) under uncultured bacterium. RNAcentral describes it as "partial 16S ribosomal RNA". It matches the Rfam family "Bacterial small subunit ribosomal RNA", at positions 28 to 507 of the family's 1533-position model. The record is from RNAcentral.
GACGAACGCUGGCGGCGUGCCUAAUACAUGCAAGUUGAGCGCUGAAGGUUGGUACUUGUACCAACUGGAUGAGCAGCGAACGGGUGAGUAACGCGUGGGGAAUCUGCCUUUGAGCGGGGGACAACAUUUGGAAACGAAUGCUAAUACCGCAUAAAAACUUUAAACACAAGUUUUAAGUUUGAAAGAUGCAAUUGCAUCACUCAAAGAUGAUCCCUCGUUGUAUUAGCUAGUUGGUGAGGUAAAGGCUCACCAAGGAGAUGAUACAUAGCCGACCUGAGAGGGUGAUCGGCCACAUUGGGACUGAGACACGGCCCAAACUCCUACGGGAGGCAGCAGUAGGGAAUCUUCGGCAAUGGACGAAAGUCUGACCGAGCAACGCCGCGUGAGUGAAGAAGGUUUUCGGAUCGUAAAACUCUGUUGGUAGAGAAGAACGUUGGUGAGAGUGGAAAGCUCAUCAAGUGACGGUAACUACCCAGAAAGGGACGGCUAACUACGUG